This 320-nucleotide long non-coding RNA is filed under the name Triticum aestivum (bread wheat). RNAcentral describes it as "long non-coding RNA (TAES_LNC004703)". The record is from RNAcentral. Lineage: Eukaryota; Viridiplantae; Streptophyta; Magnoliopsida; Poales; Poaceae.
AAGCAGCUUCAAUAAAAUUAUUGGCCAAAAGACAACAAUAUCCGAACACAAGGUGGAAAGUAUCGUGACGAUUCAUCAUCAUCGUAAAACAACGGGUGGCCACCCAAGUAAGCCACGUCAGUCGAAUUUGCCUACCAUUAUUGACAGCUUUGUGGGUUUGCAAAAGGAAGAGAGGGGCAAGGAAAACGAAGACUCAAAAAAUUCCUCCACUUCGGCACAUAAUGUGCGUGGAUGUGGCCUUAAUAUACUGAUGCCAAAACAAGCAAUCAUCUUGCCUUUGCAGACUGUAAACAUGGUACACCGCUGGUCGAAUCAUCUAG